Molecule: ribosomal RNA, 484 nt
Filed under: uncultured bacterium
Lineage: Bacteria
Description: partial 16S ribosomal RNA
Rfam family: Bacterial small subunit ribosomal RNA
Source: RNAcentral
AGUGAACGCUGGCGGCGUGCUUAACACAUGCAAGUCGAACGAGAACGGAUUAUAGCUUGCUAUAAUUGUCAGCUAAGUGGCGCACGGGUGAGUAAUGUAUAGGUAAUAUGCCUCUUACUAAGGGAUAACAAAUGGAAACGUUUGCUAAUACCUUAUACUCCUUAUUAACAGAAGUUAAUAAGGGAAAGAUUUAUUGGUAAGAGAUUAGCCUGUAUUGUAUCAGUUAGUUGGUGGGGUAAUGGCUCACCAAGACUAUGACACAUAACUGGUUUGAGAGGAUGAUCAGUCACACUGGAACUGAGACACGGUCCAGACUCCUACGGGAGGCAGCAGUGGGGAAUAUUGCACAAUGGACGAAAGUCUGAUGCAGCAACGCCGCGUGGAGGAUGACACAUUUCGGUGCGUAAACUCCUUUUAUGUGAGAAGAUAAUGACGGUAUUAUAUGAAUAAGCACCGGCUAACUCCGUGCCAGCCGCCGCGGUAA